Long non-coding RNA from Pieris rapae (cabbage white), 436 nucleotides. RefSeq lists it as uncharacterized. The record is from RefSeq and is a predicted model, not a curated record. NCBI's taxonomy places the organism in Eukaryota, Metazoa, Arthropoda, Insecta, Lepidoptera, Pieridae. The transcript is spliced from 2 exons.
CAGAUUAUCUGUCAAUGAAUUGAAAAACAAAAAAUAUAAUUUAAAAAUUUUAUCGAAGCCAGAUUGCCAGAAUAGCUGGCCCUAAAGAUGUUGAGCGUGCAACGGGUUACAUUAACACGCUACAUAACGAUCAAGGGUCUGCAGGCACUGGUGAACCGGCUGGAAUAUGCUAAUGAUCACCAUAUUCUGCCCACUGCUCAUCCGAACUACCAGGUGCAGGCUCGACGUGAAAAUGAUCCACAUCUACAGUUUCCCGCGAUUUGGCGCGAUUCACUAACCGCCAGUGUUGGAAUAAAGUGCGGGCCAAACUGGAGGCCCUUCACAAUAUGACGCUACAAAACUAUGGAGAAAACUUAUUAAUAUCAAAAUUAUGUUCGUAUUGUGCAAAUUGUCAAUUACAAACUGAAUCUGAAAUAAAACAAAAAAUAACUGCGUA